This 72-nucleotide transfer RNA is filed under the name Triticum aestivum (bread wheat). It matches the Rfam family "tRNA". From Rfam's summary of the family: Transfer RNA (tRNA) molecules are approximately 80 nucleotides in length. Lineage: Eukaryota; Viridiplantae; Streptophyta; Magnoliopsida; Poales; Poaceae. The record is from Rfam by way of RNAcentral.
ACCUACUUGACUCAUUGGUUAAAGUACUUCUUUCAUACAACGAGAGAGUCGGUUCAAAUCCAAUAGUAGGUA